CGGGCUUUUGACAUAGAUUGUCAAGAUUGUUUCAAUUAUACACUUGCAGUUAUUGAGGCUGAGAGAGGUGAAGCACCUUGCCUAAGGUCAUACAGCCAGUGUUCGAGCCCAGGUUUGAGACUUAAAUACCUCUCUACUAAAAGGGAAAUGGAGAAAAAGAUGCUGACUGCCAGGCUGGUUUCGGAUCCUUUGUAUUCUGUCAGAUGAGAACACUUGUUUACCUUCCAGGACUGACCUGAGCAUGAGGCCACUAAAUGGAUAGAACUUUUAAGACUGAUGAUUGGCUCCAGAGAUGCACAAAAACAGCAGGAUGGGUGCAUCAAUCAGGACAGGUACCAAAUCUACACUGAAAUCUGUGGCCUAUCUCAACAGUUUAUUUCUCACUCAUGGGAUACCUAAAGCAGGUUGGCAAGAGACUCAGGAACUACCUAAAUGUCAGCUCCACUUUGGCCUGGGAAAUAGGAGCACAGAGAAUCACCCAACAGCUUUUAAAAACAUCACUAACUCAAAUGGCCAGACCUAGUGUUGUUUCUCACAGCACUGUAAGGGUGCCAGGAAACGUGGGGUGAGUAUUUGGGUAUUUGCUCACCAAAUAUCCCUCUUUCCUCCUUCCACACACAACAUACCUUCUACCC
This 635-nucleotide long non-coding RNA is filed under the name Pan troglodytes (chimpanzee). RNAcentral describes it as "long non-coding RNA NONPTRT002160". Lineage: Eukaryota; Metazoa; Chordata; Mammalia; Primates; Hominidae. The record is from RNAcentral.